GCCUGGGUGGCGGAAUUGGUAGACGCAAGGGACUUAAAAUCCCUCGUUACCUGGUAACGUGCCGGUUCGAUUCCGGCCCCAGGCACCA
This 88-nucleotide transfer RNA is filed under the name Syntrophaceae bacterium. RNAcentral describes it as "tRNA-Leu". It matches the Rfam family "tRNA". From Rfam's summary of the family: Transfer RNA (tRNA) molecules are approximately 80 nucleotides in length. RNAcentral also lists the same sequence under 2 other names. Lineage: Bacteria; Pseudomonadati; Thermodesulfobacteriota; Syntrophia; Syntrophales; Syntrophaceae. The record is from RNAcentral.